GACGAACGCUGGCGGCGUGCUUAACACAUGCAAGUCGAACGGAGAGGCUCCAGCUUGCUGGAGUACUCGAGUGGCGAACGGGUGAGUAACACGUGGGUAAUCUGCCCUGCAUUCUGGGAUAAGCCUGGGAAACUGGGUCUAAUACUGGAUAUGACCUUUCUCCUUAUGGGGUUUGGUGGAAAGUUUUUCGGUGUAGGAUGAGCCCGCGGCCUAUCAGCUUGUUGGUGGGGUGAUGGCCUACCAAGGCGACGACGGGUAGCCGGCCUGAGAGGGUGAUCGGCCACAUUGGGACUGAGAUACGGCCCAGACUCCUACGGGAGGCAGCAGUGGGGAAUAUUGCACAAUGGGCGGAAGCCUGAUGCAGCGACGCCGCGUGAGGGAUGACGGCCUUCGGGUUGUAAACCUCUUUCAGCAGGGACGAAGCGUAAGUGACGGUACCUGCAGAAGAAGCACCGGCUAACUAUGUG
Molecule: ribosomal RNA, 467 nt
Filed under: uncultured bacterium
Lineage: Bacteria
Description: partial 16S ribosomal RNA
Rfam family: Bacterial small subunit ribosomal RNA
Source: RNAcentral